GUGCAGUAUGUACAGUAGCAGUCAACAGCAAAUAUAAUUUAUUGGCAUCAAAAUGUAAAUUCUUCCAUAAAAUAGCAAUUAUUUCAAAACAAAUAGUUGUAUUGUAAACAGACGAGUCUACAAUUCAUUAUGACAAUAAUCAUGUGAAGUAUGUACAGUAGCAGUAUACAGGUCAGAAUGAUAAAACUUCAAUGACAUCAUAGGAACCAAUGGAUUCAUAUGAGUACAAAGGAAUUACUAAGUGUAUUGAGAGUGUUGACCGAGAGGGCCUUUGAUGUUGGAGUAUAGCAUUACCCACGCUGUGCCUUCCCCUGUGUUCUUACAUAACUCUAUGAUUGGUUUGGUAGUAGAUCAACUGGAAUGUUUGGUUUGGGAGUAGAUAUGGCACUAAAUCAUGUACAGUACAUUUGACAUUAAAUAAACCAUUCUUAAGCAUACAGACACUUCUGUUUUUGCUGCAAAAUACAUAAUGACUCAAAUAUAGGUGGAUUCACAAAUAACAAAAAUGCUUGGAACCACAAUAAACCAUAAAGAUUAACAAAUGUAUCUUAAUGUAAAUCAAGCCUGCUUUCUCACACAUUGUACAUUAAUUUAAUAAUUUAAACAUACAAAUAUAGUAGGUAGUUGUUGUGUAAUUGUUAGAUUAUUUGUUAAUAUUGCUGCACGGUCGGAACUAGAAGCACAAGUAUCUUACUGUAAAUCAAGCCUACUUUCUCAUAUUGUACAUUAGUUGAAUAAUUUAAAAUAUAGUAAUAUGUUAUUGAAAUAGGUUUGAGGUACAAGCAUCACUGUAGAAAAUGUCCCAAAUAAUAAAUAUAGCUUUAUUAUUAAAGCUAAAUGGGUAGUGUGGUGUUUAAAAACUUCUCAUGCAUGGUUGGGACUACAGUAUGUUGUCCUCAAGCCAAAAUACAGGUAGUUUUAUGAUAGAUGUGUGUGGUACUGCACUUUGUCACCGACAUAACCAUUGUUGGUUUCGUUCAUUUCAACUUUUAAUAAGAAAAAUAUUAUAUUUUAUUCCCCAUCUUGUUAUUGGUGUUUUAAUAAUCAAAUAGCCAUAGGGAAAUUAUUGAUCCAAAUAAUUAUUGAAUGCACACACUGUACACUCAGACAAACAAAUCAACAGUGAGAGAGCCAUCUAUUGCUAAUAAACAAAGCAAACAGUAUUUAUCAUGUACACAUACUGCACAGAGGGCUAUUUCAUUUCCCUGUUAUGAUAUCUAACAGUACAUAAGGUAUCAUGUACACCAUACAUGCAAAUGACCAGGGAUAAGGUACCCAUGUCACCCUGAGAAAUGGUGUUCCUCUGUGUUGCUGUUCUAAUAAAUCAUGGGAUGCAUGCUAAUGAUUUUCACUAUUUGUCGUAUAGUACAGUUACUUCAACAGUACUGUAUGUAUGAGAACUGAAAAGAGCAGUUAGAGAGACUAUCUAUAAUGGCACAUUGUGUAUGUAGCUGUAUUAUUUGUGUAUAUCAAUAUAUUCACUAUCCAUCACGAUCUGAUGAGCUAUUAGGACAUUAUCAUUACUAUUAGUUGAGUAUUCAUUUUAAAACAGAUUAACACCCAAUGUAAUGAUAAUAGCUAAGGGGUCAACUGACAUUUUUGUUUGUCCAGGGAUCUCCAGGCCUAAUAAGGGAUACAUUAUUAGAAAACGUUUGACACAGAGAAGGUUGUGGGGCUUCACUGACCAUGUCUGAACAGGCCUAGUCACCCUGACUGACCCCAACUGGUCCAGAUGAUUGACAGGGAGGGGUGGUCAGUUCCUUCGGACGUCUGAGUAGACGGUGGAUGCAGCAUCAGGGGCAGGCUUAUGGGCAGGUUUUUUCACCUGGGUGUACUGGGAUUGGUGGGCCUGGUAGGUGGGUUAGGUCGGCUGACCGGGCCGGUUGUUGACUCUGACCGUAGCGUACUCUGUGGAGGAAAUACCCAGGUUCCCCAGCUGAACUGACCCACCAUCCCUCUUCUGGAAUUGUGUGAUGUCUGCAUAGUUCAGCUCCUAGGAGGAGAGAGGAGAGACAUGUCUUAGUUCAGUCCUGACCAUGACCUGACAAGGACAAACUCAGGGACCUUUUUGUACUGCAUCACAUCUAGAGCUAUAAGCACCAGAGCAGUGGAUAAUUACAAACACAGAGUUAGUUCAGUCAACUUUUUUUGGUUAUUUCUCGUACAACUUCUUGAGGGCAGGGAACUUGUUACAUCCCCUCAAACUGUGUGGUCGUUACUAGCCUUGUAUGCCAGGAGUGAAGGUGUGUCACACAGCUAGUGAACCAGUUACCAGACUAGGCCAUUAUGAGCAGGUUGUCAUGUUUCUAUUAUUAUCUUGAAAAAGGUCAGUGUUGAUUACGAAGAUAGUUCCUCAUAUCUUUUAUAUUUCUUUCGGUUGAGUUUUAGAAGAGAUUAAAUUGCAGCCAAAUGGACACAUUAGGGCUCAUGGCACUUGACAGGCAUACAUUUGUCAUCGCUGAGUAGCCAAGGCAACAGUCUGUUGUAAAUACUUGACAAGAAAAGUUGUGUGUGCAAGCUCAAUAUAAUAUUCUCUUCCUGGAGCAAAUUCCCUCAGCCUUACAGUAAUGCAAUGCAUACUACCCCUGCCUGAAAGUGGGAUUAUCUCUAUGAUGUGCGGAUAUGGAUAUACAGUGCCUUGCGAAAGUAUUCGGCCCCCUUGAACUUUGCGACCUUUUGCCACAUUUCAGGCUUCAAACAUAAAGAUAUAAAACUGUAUUUUUUUGUGAAGAAUCAACAACAAGUGGGACACAAUCUUGAAGUGGAACGACAUUUAUUGGAUAUUUCAAACUUUUUUAACAAAUCAAAAACUGAAAAAUUGGGCGUGCAAAAUGUGGCAAAAGGUCGCAAAGUUCAAGGAGGCCGAAUACUUUCGCAAGGCACUGUAUACACAUGGUUAAAUGUCAGACUGUGGCUUAGCAGGAACAAUGCCAGGAGAUAUACUGUAGCAGACCAGGAGCUUGGCUCUGGUGCCAUUUAAGCUAUUACUGUAUAUUAUCUUAUUGUUAUUUUAUAACUACUAUACUGACCCAUCUUCUUCUACAUUGUGUGAUGAGAUAUUUAUAUGUGAUGAUCAUUAUAGUCUUAUAAAACAAUAGAAUCUACUAUUCUGAUCAUGAUAUCUGAUAGCCAGACAAGAUAUGAUAUCGUACAUGUCGCCCAGAGUGCAGCUCUUUCUACACAAAAUGGCAGUAUCAAAGGCAGGUCAGUUAAUUAUCUGUGCACCUGAAUGAUGUCAAUACUGUAAAUAAAGGAAAUAAACUCAGAAAAAAAAAGAAACGUCCUCUCACUGUCAACUGCGUUUAUUUUCCACAGACAUGUGACUAACAGAAAUGGAAUAAUUAGUCCUGAACAAAAGGGGGGGGGGGGUCAAAAUCAAAAGUAAGUCAGUAUCAGGUGUGGCCAACAGCUGCAUUAACUACUGCAGUGCAUCUCCUCCUCAUUGCCAGUUCUUGCUGUGAGAUGUUACCUCACUCUUCCACCAAAUCACCUGUAAGUUACCGGACAUUUCUGGGGAAUGGCCCUAGCCCUCACCCUCCGAUCUAACAGAUCCCAGACAUGCCUAAUGGGAUUGAGAUCCGGGAUCUUCGCAGGCCAUGGCCUUGCAGGAAAUCAUGCACAGAACGAGCAGUAUGGCUGGUGGCAUUCUCAUGCUGGAGGGCCAUGUCAGGAUGAGCCUGCAGGAAGGGUACCACAUGAGGGAGGAGGAUGUCUUCCCUGUAACGGACAGUGUUGAGAUAGCCUGCAAUGACAAGAAGCUCAGUCCGAUGAUGCUCUGACACACUGCCCCAGACCAUGACGGACCCUCCACCUCCAAACCGAUCCCGCUCCAGAGUACAGGCCUCGGUGUAACGCUCAUUACAUCGAAGAUAAACAUGAAUCCGACAAUCACCCCUGGUGAGACAAAACCGUGACUCGUCAGUGAAGAGCAGUUUUUGCCAGGCCUGUCUGGUCGAGCGACAGUGGGUUUGUGGCCAUAGACUACGUUGUUUCCGGUGAUGUCUGGUGAGGACAUGCCUUACAACAGGCCUACAAGCCCUCAGUCUAGCCUCUCUCAGCCAAUUGCAGACAGUCUGAGCACUGAUGGAGGGAUUGUGCGUUCCUGGUGUAACUCAGGCAGUUGUUGCCAUCCUGUACCUGUCCCGCAGGUGUGAUGUUCGGAUGUACCAAUCCUGUGUAGGUGUUGUUACACGUGGUCUGCCACUGCGAGGACGAUCAGCUGUCCAUCCUGUCUCCCUGUAGCGCUGUCUUAGGCGUCUCACAGUACAGACAUUGAAAUGUAUUGCCCUGGCCACAUCUGCAGUCCUCAUGCCUCCUUGCAGCAUGCCUAAGGCAUGUUCAUGCAGAUGAGCAGGGACCCUGGGCAUCUUUCCUUUUGUGUUUUUCAGAGUCAGUUGAAAGGCCUCUUUAGUGUCCUAAGUUUUCAUAACUGUGACCUUAAUUGCCUAACGUCUGUACACUGUUAGUGUCUUAACGACCAUUCCACAGGUGCAUGUUCAUUAAUUGAUUAUGGUUCGUUGAACAAGCAUUGGAAACCGUAUUUAAACCCUUUACAAUGAAGAUAUGUGAAGUUAUUUGGAUUUUCACUAAUUAUCUUUGAAAGACAGGGUCCUGAAAAAGGGCUGUUUCUUUUUUAGCUGAGUUUAUUAUACAUUGGCAUGACAUUCAUGUGAGUUAAACAAAUACCCUAUCAAAGCUAUGAAAACAGAAAACAAUGACAGUUAAAUGCAUGACAUGACAAUGCACAGUACCUGGUUUCCUCCUUUCCCCCCUCCAUUAGUAGAGCUUUCACCUGCUGGGAUGACACACAAAUAGCACUUAGAAAUGGGAUUGCACUUUACAGUAGAGUAGGUUUCACAAUCAUGAAGCACUAAUCAACAUUGACUGCUAAUACUCACACCUUCAAUCAAAGCAUUGCCUUAGAUUACAGGCAUGAUGGUUAGUUCGUUUUUGUGUCUGUAGAAGAUUAUGAUAAUCAGGAGCAGAGAUAGGUUUGUUUUCCCAAACAGACAGGGGAAGUUAAGUAUUUACACAGCUGGGAACUAGAGAGAUGGAGAUCAGUUGACUAUUAGACAAAGUAGAAAUAUAUGUAUACCAAAAGUUCAUCAAAUUGCCUUUUCUGGAAACAGAAAUGUUUGAUUCAUUUACAAAAUGGAUGCCUGUGAUAGCAAACACACACACACAACUUAUACUUACUGUUGCCAACUGUCCUUCCACUGGAAGUUAUUUUCUUGAAGUAGCUAAUUGAAAAUAAGUAGCAGUCAGUAUCUUUGGGAAAUUACUAUUGUUAUGUUCAG
Long non-coding RNA from Oncorhynchus tshawytscha (Chinook salmon), 5297 nucleotides. Lineage: Eukaryota; Metazoa; Chordata; Actinopteri; Salmoniformes; Salmonidae. The record is from Ensembl.